RNAcentral lists this transfer RNA (70 nucleotides) under Camelus bactrianus (Bactrian camel). It matches the Rfam family "tRNA". From Rfam's summary of the family: Transfer RNA (tRNA) molecules are approximately 80 nucleotides in length. Their secondary structure includes four short double-helical elements and three loops (D, anti-codon, and T loops). RNAcentral also lists the same sequence under 2 other names. Lineage: Eukaryota; Metazoa; Chordata; Mammalia; Artiodactyla; Camelidae. The record is from Rfam by way of RNAcentral.
GGGUAGAGCUCAGUGGUAGAGUGAAUGCCUAGCAUGCAUGAGGUCCUGGGUUCAAUUCCCAGUACUUCCA